GGUCAGUGAUGAUUAGUAAAAGGUCUGACUGCACGAAGAAAUCACAGUCCCUUUAUUGCUCCCAGCUCCCAGCAGCCCCUCUCUUGCCCCAUCACGCUCUAGUUAUGUUGUGAUCGGAUCCCGGGGCUGCUGACAGUUUGAGAUACUCAGUUCGGGUUAUCCAAAGAAGAAUGGAGAGACAACCCUCCCUGAGCAUCCAACAAAACUAAUUACAAAGGGGUUUUAAUGGGACAAUAUGGACUGUGGUCGUGCAUGAUUUUAAGUUUUCAAGCUGAGACC
Tachyglossus aculeatus (Australian echidna) is the source of this 279-nucleotide non-coding RNA. RefSeq annotates it as small Cajal body-specific RNA 6. The transcript has a single exon. The record is from RefSeq and is a predicted model, not a curated record. NCBI's taxonomy places the organism in Eukaryota, Metazoa, Chordata, Mammalia, Monotremata, Tachyglossidae.